This 1427-nucleotide long non-coding RNA is filed under the name Triticum aestivum (bread wheat). Its description in RNAcentral is "long non-coding RNA (TAES_LNC005332)". The record is from RNAcentral. Lineage: Eukaryota; Viridiplantae; Streptophyta; Magnoliopsida; Poales; Poaceae.
ACGCCGGAGGCGGACAGGGCUGCCGCGGCGGCGGCGGCGGCGGCGGCGGAGAAGGCGGCGUGCGAGUGGAGCGAGGCGGAGGAGCGGGGCGCGCGGGCCGCAAGGUCGAGCAGGAGCGCGAUGCCGACCGCCAUGGACGCGGGAUCUCGCGGCGAGCGAGAGGUAGGGGGCCUGUCGGAUUCGCCGGCUCGUGCCGCGUCAGUACCGACGACGACGGAGGUGGCUGCCGGUAUGGGCUGGGCUUGGUCGGGCCCUUGGCGCGACCUGGCCUCCCCGUUUUAUAUUGAGCAGGUGAGUGGGUCGCCUAGUCGAAUUACAAAACACUUUCCGCAUCGAAUUACAACCCCUUCCUUAAGAAAAGCUGAAUGUAUUUCUCAAAAAGAAAAAGCCGAAUGUUUCUCAAAAAAUAAAAAUAAAAGACGAAUCACAGCCCGGAGGCGAAGCAGAUCAAGGUUUAUAUAGCUUGGCACUUGACAAAGAACCAUGUUUUCUUUUCUUUUCUUGUGGGAAAAAGAAUGGUGUUUUUUUGUGAAAGUGUUUUCAGUGUUCGACAAUGGGAGAACUGUUAUUUACAGGCAAGUUUAAACUUAUCACGUCAUAGUGGAUCCUUUCCGCAUCUUAUUUAAACAAACUAGUAAAUGCGCACGUGCAAUACACGUUAGUAUUUAGGCAAUUUAUUAAUGGCAUACGGAUAUAUUAGCUAUGUUAUUAUUUGUGUGUUAAUUUUAUAAUUAGUGCAAUAUUUGGUAUAAUAUUAAUUGCACGUUAAACACGUUGAAUCCUCGCCAUUGAAGCAGUCUAGGUUAUUGGAUCGACUUAGUUUGAUGGUCGAGAUCAGUUGGAUCUGCCCCUUUGGAUCCUUUUAUAUUGGUAUAGAUUUAGAUAUAGACUAGCAAAAGUGCCCGUGCGUUGCAACGGGGACAUGAAUAAGCAAAUGUGCUUCAAACGGCAGAUCUACAAAGCUUUGCAUUGCGAAAAUCAAUGGCGGUAGUUGUGGAUCGAUGAGCGGUUGCUUGAAGGAAAACUUUGGCAUCGAGGGUUAUUUGAUGGUUCGCUCGAAAGGGAUAUGUGAUGUAAUGGAGCAUUCCGGUGUUGUUGUAAGAAUAUAAUGAGCAUUAACCAGUGGUUAGAUCGACAAAGGGGGGGUCGAACUAACCCGAAGAAUGGCCGCGCGGAGAGUGGUACGCCGGAGGCGGACAAGGCUGCCGCGGCGGCGGCGGCGGCGGCAGCGGCGGAGAAGGCGGCGUGCGAGUGGAGCGAGGCGGAGGAGCGGGGCGCACGGGCCGCAAGGUCGAGCAGGAGCACGAUGCCGACCACCAUGGACGCGGGAUCUCGCAGCGAGCGAGAGGUCGGGGGCCUCUUGGAUUCGCCGGCUCGUGCCGCGUCAGUAGCGACGACGACGGAGGUGGCUGCCGGUAUGGGCUGGG